CUACGGGGCGCUCCAGUGAGGAAUAUUGCACAAUGGGGGGAACCCUGAUGCGGCAACGCCGCGUGGAGGAUGACGCAUUUCGGUGUGUAAACUCCUUUUAUAUGUCAAGAAAAUGACGGUAGCAUAUGAAUAAGCACCGGCUAACUCCGUGCCAGCAGCCGCGGUAAUACGGAGGGUGCAAGCGUUACUCGGAAUCACUGGGCGUAAAGGACGCGUAGGCGGGUUGGAAAGUCAGGUGUGAAAUCCUACAGCUUAACUGUAGAACUGCACUUGAAACUUCUAAUCUAGAGUAUGGGAGGGGGAGAUGGAAUUAGAGGUGUAGGGGUAAAAUCCGUAGAUAUCACUAGGAAUACCUAAAGCGAAGGCGAUCUCCUGGAACAUUACUGACGCUAAGGCGUGAAAGCGUGGGGAGCAAACAGGAUUAGAUACCCCGGUAGUC
RNAcentral lists this ribosomal RNA (439 nucleotides) under uncultured bacterium. RNAcentral describes it as "partial 16S ribosomal RNA". It matches the Rfam family "Bacterial small subunit ribosomal RNA", at positions 339 to 795 of the family's 1533-position model. The record is from RNAcentral.